UGGACAGAAAGAAGAAUUCCUUGAUAUUACCUCUUCUAGAUCCUUUUCUGAAGACUGCGACACGGGUGCUGGGGCAAAAGGUGACUAAUGGAUUUUUGUAUAAAAGCUUUAAGAACUCGAGCACGAUGAUAUCGAAUCUGAUAGGGCCAAAAGAGCAAAUGGCGUUCAUGAACCACCCUGUUAGCAAUUGUUACUAUAUUGUCUCGGGUAUACCUCAGAGUACUACGUUUACAUCAGUGACGAACAAUGAUAAAUUGAUGGUUGUGGUAACAAUGGAGAAGGAAUUUAUUGAUUCAGAACUUUUCACUUCAUGUAUGGAUGAAGCCUUUGAAAACAUUUUCC
Papaver somniferum (opium poppy) is the source of this 342-nucleotide long non-coding RNA. RefSeq lists it as uncharacterized. NCBI's taxonomy places the organism in Eukaryota, Viridiplantae, Streptophyta, Magnoliopsida, Ranunculales, Papaveraceae. The record is from RefSeq and is a predicted model, not a curated record. The transcript has 3 exons.